This 255-nucleotide long non-coding RNA is filed under the name Setaria viridis. RNAcentral's name for it is "long non-coding RNA (SVIR_LNC008281)". Lineage: Eukaryota; Viridiplantae; Streptophyta; Magnoliopsida; Poales; Poaceae. The record is from RNAcentral.
GUGAACCGUUGCAUGGGCUCUUCCUGUGGGCUAUUUUAGUUGCUGUGUGCUGCAGCCCAUUGGAGUCUACAGCUCGUUUAGCUCGUGAGCAGCUCACGAGCAGCUCGAGCCAGCUCGUUAUAACUAAUGAGCAAAAUACUAGCUCGCCUCAUUAUGAAAAUACACCGAGCCAUGGGAGCUAACGAGGCACGAACAUUCACACGUAGAAAAACAACAUUUCAUUCUUAAUAAAAAUCUCGAUUAUUUUUAUCUUUA